Non-coding RNA from Gasterosteus aculeatus (three-spined stickleback), 62 nucleotides. NCBI's taxonomy places the organism in Eukaryota, Metazoa, Chordata, Actinopteri, Perciformes, Gasterosteidae. The record is from Rfam.
CAAUUUCAGCCAUUCAUACUUCAGUUGUUGAAAUGGAAAAAGUGUUUUGAGUCUAAUUAUUA